Molecule: ribosomal RNA, 492 nt
Filed under: uncultured bacterium
Lineage: Bacteria
Description: partial 16S ribosomal RNA
Rfam family: Bacterial small subunit ribosomal RNA
Source: RNAcentral
AGUGAACGCUGGCGGUAGGCCUAACACAUGCAAGUCGAACGGCAGCACAGUAAGAGCUUGCUCUUACGGGUGGCGAGUGGCGGACGGGUGAGGAAUACAUCGGAAUCUACUUUUUCGUGGGGGAUAACGCAGGGAAACUUACGCUAAUACCGCAUACGACCUACGGGUGAAAGCAGGGGAUCUUCGGACCUUGCGCGAUUGAAUAAGCCGAUGUCGGAUUAGCUAGUUGGCGGGGUAAAGGCCCACCAAGGCGACGAUCCGUAGCUGGUCUGAGAGGAUGAUCAGCCACACUGGAACUGAGACACGGUCCAGACUCCUACGGGAGGCGGCAGUGGGGAAUAUUGGACAAUGGGCGCAAGCCUGAUCCAGCCAUACCGCGUGGGUGAAGAAGGCCUUCGGGUUGUAAAGCCCUUCUGUUGGGAAAGAAAAGCAGCAGGUUAAUACCCCGCUGUUCUGACGGUACCAAAAGAAUAAGCACCGGCUAACUUCGUG